AUCACCUUGGCAGAUGAAUGUACUAGAUUUAGGAUCUAAUUAUAUAGGCGGAGAACUAUAGGUGAUA
RNAcentral lists this transfer RNA (67 nucleotides) under Atyopsis moluccensis. Its description in RNAcentral is "tRNA-Leu". The record is from RNAcentral. Lineage: Eukaryota; Metazoa; Arthropoda; Malacostraca; Decapoda; Atyidae.